CCUACGGGUGGCUGCAGUGGGGAAUAUUGCACAAUGGGCGAAAGCCUGAUGCAGCAACGCCGCGUGAAGGAAGACGGUUUUCGGAUUGUAAACUUCUAUCAAUAGGGAAGAAAGAAAUGACGGUACCUAAAUAAGAAGCCCCGGCUAACUACGUGCCAGCAGCCGCGGUAAUACGUAGGGGGCAAGCGUUAUCCGGAAUUACUGGGUGUAAAGGGAGAGUAGGUGGCAAGGUAAGCGAUAUGUGAAAGCCUUAAGCUUAACUUAAGGAUUGCAUAACGAACUAUCUAGCUAGAGUACAGGAGAGGAAAGCGGAAUUCCUAGUGUAGCGGUGAAAUGCGUAGAUAUUAGGAAGAACACCGAUUGCGAAGGCAGCUUACCAAGCUACUUCUGACGUUGAGGCACGAAAGCGUGGGGAGCAAACAGGAUUAGAUACCCGAGUAGUC
Molecule: ribosomal RNA, 443 nt
Filed under: uncultured bacterium
Lineage: Bacteria
Description: partial 16S ribosomal RNA
Rfam family: Bacterial small subunit ribosomal RNA
Source: RNAcentral